This 636-nucleotide ribosomal RNA is filed under the name uncultured Campylobacterota bacterium. Its description in RNAcentral is "bacterial SSU rRNA". It matches the Rfam family "Bacterial small subunit ribosomal RNA", at positions 78 to 734 of the family's 1533-position model. The record is from RNAcentral. Lineage: Bacteria; Pseudomonadati; Campylobacterota.
GCUUGCUCUUCCUGAUUAGUGGCGCACGGGUGAGUAAUGCAUAGAUAAUGUGCCCCUUAGUUCGGGAUAGCCACUGGAAACGGUGAUUAAUACCGGAUACUCCUUCUUGCCUCAAGGUAAGUCGGGAAAGUUUUUCGCUAAGGGAUCAGUCUAUGUCCUAUCAGCUAGUUGGUGAGGUAAUGGCUCACCAAGGCUAUGACAGGUAUCUGGUUUGAGAGGAUGAUCAGACACACUGGAACUGAGACACGGUCCAGACUCCUACGGGAGGCAGCAGUGAGGAAUAUUGCACAAUGGAGGAAACUCUGAUGCAGCAACGCCGCGUGGAGGAUGACGCAUUUCGGUGUGUAAACUCCUUUUAUUAGGGAAGAUAAUGACGGUACCUAAUGAAUAAGCACCGGCUAACUCCGUGCCAGCAGCCGCGGUAAUACGGAGGGUGCAAGCGUUACUCGGAAUCACUGGGCGUAAAGGGUGCGUAGGCUGGCUUUUAAGUCAGAUGUGAAAUCCAAUGGCUUAACCAUUGAACUGCAUUUGAAACUGAAAGCCUAGAGUUCAGAAGGGGCAGAUGGAAUUAGUGGUGUAGGGGUAAAAUCCGUAGAUAUCACUAGGAAUAUCAAAAGCGAAGGCGAUCUGCUGGGA